CCAUGUACAUUUAAACAAAAUGGAGGCUCUUAUUGAGGCUUGCUUUGACGUGGCAGGUGAGCUUAUAUAUUCAAAUGGAAUAAAACUAAAGAGCCUCCAUUUUGUUUAAAUGUACAUGG
Non-coding RNA from Pelobates cultripes (western spadefoot toad), 119 nucleotides. Lineage: Eukaryota; Metazoa; Chordata; Amphibia; Anura; Pelobatidae. The record is from the annotation of a GenBank genome assembly.